AUUGAACGCUGGCGGCAUGCCUUACACAUGCAAGUCGAACGGCAGCACGGACUUCGGUCUGGUGGCGAGUGGCGAACGGGUGAGUAAUGUAUCGGAACGUACCUUUCAGUGGGGGAUAACGUAGCGAAAGUUACGCUAAUACCGCAUAUUCUGUGAGCAGGAAAGCAGGUGAUCGAAAGACCUUGCGCUGGGUGAGCGACCGAUAUCAGAUUAGCUAGUUGGUGGGGUAAAGGCCUACCAAGGCGACGAUCUGUAGCGGGUCUGAGAGGAUGAUCCGCCACACUGGAACUGAGCCACGGUCCAGACUCCUACGAGAGGGAGCAGUGUGGAAUUUUGGACAAUGGGGGCAAACCUGAUCCAGCCAUGCCGAGUGAGUGAAGAAGGCCUUCGGGUUGUAAAGCUCUUUCGGCCGGGAAGAACUCGCAUAGGCUAAUACCCUGUGUGGAUGACGGUACCGGAAUAAGAAGCACCGGCUAACUACGUG
Molecule: ribosomal RNA, 484 nt
Filed under: uncultured bacterium
Lineage: Bacteria
Description: partial 16S ribosomal RNA
Rfam family: Bacterial small subunit ribosomal RNA
Source: RNAcentral